RNAcentral lists this unclassified non-coding RNA (93 nucleotides) under Halpernia humi. Its description in RNAcentral is "Chryseobacterium humi Flavo-1 RNA". The record is from RNAcentral. Lineage: Bacteria; Pseudomonadati; Bacteroidota; Flavobacteriia; Flavobacteriales; Weeksellaceae.
AAUUAGCCCCGAUUGAACGGUUUGUUUGAGCUCUUCCAAAAAAAUCGCAUUUGGAUUUUUUUUGGAAAGCGAGCCGUGAAAGCGGGAAGAUAA